UGGGGAAUAUUGCGCAAUGGAGGAAACUCUGAACCUGCGACGCCGCGUGAGUGAUGAAGGUCGUAAGAUCGUAAAACUCUUUUCAGGGAUCUUAAAGCCUGUCUGUCAACAACAGGCAGGUCUGACUCUCCCUGGAAGAAGCCCCAGCCAACUACGUGCCAGCAGCUGCGGUAAUACGUAGGGGGCAAGCGUUAUCCGGAAUUAUUGGGCGUAAAGAGUACGUAGGUGGUUUCUUAAGCGCAGGGUUUAAGGCAAUGGCUUAACCAUUGUUCGCCCUGUGAACUGGGAGACUUGAGUGCAGGAGAGGAAAGUGGAAUUCCUAGUGUAGCGGUGAAAUGCGUAGAUAUUAGGAGGAACACCAGUGGCGAAGGCGACUUUCUGGACUGUAACUGACACUGAGGUACGAAAGCGUGGGGAGCAAACA
RNAcentral lists this ribosomal RNA (424 nucleotides) under uncultured prokaryote. RNAcentral's name for it is "bacterial SSU rRNA". It matches the Rfam family "Bacterial small subunit ribosomal RNA", at positions 355 to 774 of the family's 1533-position model. The record is from RNAcentral.